CGUCAUUUCUCCCUCAAACCCUCGGGUUUGGUGUUGAGCGAUACGCUGGGUUUGCUUGAAAGAAAGGCGGAGUAUAAACUAAUGGAUAGGUUUUUUCCACUCAUUGGUACAAACUCCAAAACUUCUUCCAAAUUCGACCUCAAAUCAGGUAGGACUACCCGCUGAACUUAAGCAUAUCAAUAAGCGGAGGAAAAGAAACCAACAGGAAUUGCCUUAGUAGCGGCGAGUGAAGCGGCAAAAGCUCAAAUUUGAAAUCUGGCACUUUCAGUGUCCGAGUUGUAAUUUGAAGAAGGUAUCUUUGGGUCUGGCUCUUGUCUAUGUUUCUUGGAACAGAACGUCACAGAGGGUGAGAAUCCCGUGCGAUGAGAUGUCCCAGACCUAUGUAAAGUUCCUUCGAAGAGUCGAGUUGUUUGGGAAUGCAGCUCUAAGUGGGUGGUAAAUUCCAUCUAAAGCUAAAUAUUGGCGAGAGACCGAUAGCGAACAAGUACAGUGAUGGAAAGAUGAAAAGAACUUUGAAAAGAGAGUGAAAAAGUACGUGAAAUUGUUGAAAGGGAAGGGCUUGAGAUCAGACUUGGUAUUUUGUAUGUUACUCUCUCGGGGGUGGCCUCUACAGUUUACCGGGCCAGCAUCAGUUUGAGCGGUAGGAUAAGUGCAAAGAAAUGUGGCACUGCUUCGGUAGUGUGUUAUAGUCUUUGUCGAUACUGCCAGCUUAGACUGAGGACUGCGGCUUCGGCCUAGGAUGUUGGCAUAAUGAUCUUAAGUCGCCCGUCUUGAAACACGGACCAAGGAGUCUAACGUCUAUGCGAGUGUUUGGGUGUAAAACCCGUACGCGUAAUGAAAGUGAACGUAGGUAGGACCUCCUUUAGGAGUGCACUAUCGACCCGAUCCUGAUGUCUUCGGAUG
RNAcentral lists this ribosomal RNA (903 nucleotides) under Lodderomyces parapsilosis. RNAcentral describes it as "LSU rRNA". The stretch from base 135 to 903 matches the Rfam family "Eukaryotic large subunit ribosomal RNA", at positions 1 to 786 of the family's 3401-position model. The record is from RNAcentral. Lineage: Eukaryota; Fungi; Ascomycota; Pichiomycetes; Serinales; Debaryomycetaceae.